AGAUUGAACGCUGGCGGCAUGCCUAACACAUGCAAGUCGAACGGGAGUAGCAAUACUCUAGUGGCGGACGGGUGAGGAAUACGUAGGAAUUUGCCCUUAAGUGGGGGAUAACCCGGGAAACCCGGAUUAAUACCGCAUGACCUCGAAAGAGCAAAGUGGGGGAUCGCAAGACCUCACGCUUUUGGAGAAGCCUACGUCGGAUUAGCUAGUUGGUGAGGUAAUGGCUCACCAAGGCGACGAUCCGUAACUGGUCUGAGAGGAUGAUCAGUCACACCGGAACUGAGACACGGUCCGGACUCCUACGGGGAGGCAGCAGUGGGGAAUAGUUGGACAAUGGGGCGCAAGCCUGAUCCAGCAAU
RNAcentral lists this ribosomal RNA (359 nucleotides) under uncultured soil bacterium. RNAcentral's name for it is "bacterial SSU rRNA". It matches the Rfam family "Bacterial small subunit ribosomal RNA", at positions 26 to 395 of the family's 1533-position model. The record is from RNAcentral.